GUGCCAGCAGCCGCGGUAAGACGUAGGGUCCAAGCGUUGUCCGGAUUUACUGGGCGUAAAGAGCGCGUAGGCGGUCUGUUAAGUGUGAAGUGAAAUCUCCAGGGCUCAACCCGGAAACUGCUUCGCAUACUGGCAGACUUGAGGAAUGCAGAGGUUUGUGGAAUUCCCGGUGUAACGGUGAAAUGUGUUGAUAUCGGGAGGAACACCCAUGGCGAAGGCAGCAAACUGGGCAUUAUCUGACGCUGAGGCGCGAAAGCGUGGGUAGCAAACAGGAUUAGAAACCCUGGUAGUCC
This 293-nucleotide ribosomal RNA is filed under the name uncultured bacterium. RNAcentral's name for it is "partial 16S ribosomal RNA". It matches the Rfam family "Bacterial small subunit ribosomal RNA", at positions 505 to 796 of the family's 1533-position model. The record is from RNAcentral.